Carassius carassius (crucian carp) is the source of this 384-nucleotide long non-coding RNA. RefSeq lists it as uncharacterized. The transcript is spliced from 3 exons. The record is from RefSeq and is a predicted model, not a curated record. NCBI's taxonomy places the organism in Eukaryota, Metazoa, Chordata, Actinopteri, Cypriniformes, Cyprinidae.
AGCCUAAAAAUAGAGCGUUCGCGAAUUCCAUAAAAGUGAGACAUCACAGAGCUUCUGGAUUCUGGGGGAAAAAAAGAUGAAGCAUCUGAAAAGGUGGCUCGGAUCGGGGGGGGGGGGGGGGGUUAUGGUGGACUCGUCGCCUCCAUGGCAUGGGAGACUACCAAAUCAGAGACUGAAAGACUGAGACAUCACGCCUCGAGUUCGCCUUGUGAUGCAGUCUCCAUGGCGACUACAGUUUCCUGGGAAACAGCCUGGAUGUCUGUUGUUUGCUGACGACGGAUAUUAGGCUAAUAUGAAUGAAGACAACAGGAUUUAGAAGGCUUCGGGGGAGAUCCACGCAGUGCCUAGGAAUGACGACCAAUAGAAACGGAGGCCGUUAACCUU